GUGCUCCCUUGGACAGCACACACAGUAAAGUUGGAGCUACAUGGAAGGAAAGGUUAGCAUGGCCCCCAUGCAAGGAUGGCAUGCACAUCCGCAUGCGAUUCACAUUUUA
RNAcentral lists this small nuclear RNA (109 nucleotides) under Fukomys damarensis (Damara mole-rat). The record is from RNAcentral. Lineage: Eukaryota; Metazoa; Chordata; Mammalia; Rodentia; Bathyergidae.